This 860-nucleotide long non-coding RNA is filed under the name Homo sapiens (human). RNAcentral describes it as "HSALNT0095079". The record is from RNAcentral. Lineage: Eukaryota; Metazoa; Chordata; Mammalia; Primates; Hominidae.
GAAAAUGACAACACUGAAAUACUUCGUUUACAGGAUUUGGAAGUCGUAUAGACUACAAAUCUCUCUGCUGUGCAACACACAUAACAAGUCCCCAAAAUAUCCUUUGUUUGCUGAGGUUUUGCUCAGAUAUUUAAGGUUCUGACAGUUUAAAUAUGGUGAACAAUAUGGUGAACCAUCCAAAUAUUUUGCAUCAUUGGUAUUUGGAAAGAUCUUUAAGAACAAUUAGUUCUAGUUCAGAGAGGCAAGUGCAGCACCCAGGCUCCCGGUUUUCCGUGGGGGCGGAUCAACAUGGCCUCCUCAGCUAGCUGCAUUUCACAGGGAGUCUCAGGCCCCCCUAGCAUGGGUUUCCUAGGCCUGGCCACUUGGCUCACAUUGUAACAGAGAAGAAAACUGGGCAGAUCCGCUGACUCCUCAGCUAGGCGCGGGGUUCACCAGGUCUCACUGGAGGCUGAGAAAAAUACAGAGCUUCCCGGAAGCAGGAACAACACUGGGAGGCCUGACCUUGCUCAAGGCCCUUUGACCUGACUCACCAGACCGGAAUGGGAACCUAAAGGAAAGUGGAGACUUCCCAUUCUGUGGAAAUCUUUAAGAACUGGAGAAAAGUUCCAAUUACUUACAGCUUCAAGGGACAGAAUGAUGGAUGGCUUUGUUUGCAAACAUGCUAUUUGUCUGAGGCUCUUUGUCCAGUCAGCUGGUUGACAAAUACUGAUCACGCCCAGUGUGCACAGGGACCUCAGUUAAGAAUACCAGGGCUAGAGCAAAGAACGAACAUAGUUCCUGUCUCUAUCAGACAAAAUUAACAGCCGACAGAGACGCGCAGAGAGCCACUCUGAGAGAAGCCACUGGGUGCAAGGGUUGUC